AUGAGCACGAGCAGCAGGGAGGAGCCUGGUGGCAGUGGCAGAAAAGCACAUGGAGAAGAAGCUGACGACAUGGGCUGGAUCUGGUCCUGCCUUUUCCGUGGUAAGACAACAGAUCCGUCUGCAGUUGUUGUGGUGAGGAGGCGUGAGCCGGCAGAUCUGUGGCGCAACGACGAUAAGGAAGUAGUUGGCAGAGGGAAGAGAAUGUUCAUGCUGGGAGGAGGGGAGGAGAUUAUGGUGAUGGCUCGAUCCAAAUCUCAAGAGGAGGAGAGUGAAAGGAAUGGAGGGCAAAUUGAUUGGGAUGGAGGCUGA
This 309-nucleotide ribosomal RNA is filed under the name Triticum aestivum (bread wheat). RNAcentral describes it as "partial small subunit ribosomal RNA". Lineage: Eukaryota; Viridiplantae; Streptophyta; Magnoliopsida; Poales; Poaceae. The record is from RNAcentral.